GAUGAACGCUGGCGGCGUGCCUAAUACAUGCAAGUCGAGCGAACAGACGAGGAGCUUGCUCCUCUGACGUUAGCGGCGGAUGGGUGAGUAACACGUGGAUAACCUACCUAUAAGACUGGGAUAACUUCGGGAAACCGGAGCUAAUACCGGAUAAUAUAUUGAACCGCAUGGUUCAAUAGUGAAAGACGGUUUUGCUGUCACUUAUAGAUGGAUCCGCGCCGCAUUAGCUAGUUGGUAAGGUAACGGCUUACCAAGGCGACGAUGCGUAGCCGACCUGAGAGGGUGAUCGGCCACACUGGAACUGAGACACGGUCCAGACUCCUACGGGAGGCAGCAGUAGGGAAUCUUCCGCAAUGGGCGAAAGCCUGACGGAGCAACGCCGCGUGAGUGAUGAAGGUCUUCGGAUCGUAAAACUCUGUUAUUAGGGAAGAACAAAUGUGUAAGUAACUAUGCACGUCUUGACGGUACCUAACCAGAAAGCCACGGCUAACUACGUG
RNAcentral lists this ribosomal RNA (497 nucleotides) under uncultured bacterium. RNAcentral's name for it is "partial 16S ribosomal RNA". It matches the Rfam family "Bacterial small subunit ribosomal RNA", at positions 28 to 507 of the family's 1533-position model. The record is from RNAcentral.